Molecule: ribosomal RNA, 420 nt
Filed under: uncultured bacterium
Lineage: Bacteria
Description: bacterial SSU rRNA
Rfam family: Bacterial small subunit ribosomal RNA
Source: RNAcentral
GGAAUAUUGGACAAUGGGGGCAACCCUGAUCCAGCCAUGCCGCGUGUGUGAAGAAGGCUUUCGGGUUGUAAAGCACUUUCAGUGAGGAAGAAGGCCUUGGGGUUAAUACCCCCGAGGAAGGACAUCACUCACAGAAGAAGCACCGGCUAACUCCGUGCCAGCAGCCGCGGUAAUACGGAGGGUGCGAGCGUUAAUCGGAAUUACUGGGCGUAAAGCGUGCGCAGGCGGCUCGCUAAGACAGGUGUGAAAGCCCCGGGCUUAACCUGGGAACUGCGUUUGAAACUGGGGAGCUAGAGUGUGGAAGAGGGGGGUGGAAUUCCAGGUGUAGCAGUGAAAUGCGUAGAGAUCUGGAGGAACACCGAUGGCGAAGGCAGCCCCCUGGGCUAACACUGACGCUCAUGCACGAAAGCGUGGGGAGCA